Long non-coding RNA from Arachis duranensis, 346 nucleotides. RefSeq lists it as uncharacterized. NCBI's taxonomy places the organism in Eukaryota, Viridiplantae, Streptophyta, Magnoliopsida, Fabales, Fabaceae. The record is from RefSeq and is a predicted model, not a curated record. The transcript is spliced from 2 exons.
CGAAAUGCUUAUGCGGUCUUUAUGCAGUUAUUUCAAAAUCUGGCACCGUCGAGAAUUUGGGAAGGUUGUUCUUUGGGUGUUCGAGGUAUAAGGCUGAAAGAAGUCGGUGUUGCUGAUGAUUUGGUGGGUGGUUUCGGAGAUUCGUUGUUGGAGCUGCAAGACAAGGGUGGUUGUGCUCUGAAUAAUCAAAAUGCAACUGUGAAGAAAGACAAAAAAUAGUUGCUUUAGUGUGUACUUAUUGGCUUGGUUUAUUGUGUCAGUUUGUGUAGUUGUGCUUAAUAAUUCUGCAAAAUCUUAGAUUUGUAUGUUUCUUUUGAAUUUAUGAAUGAAAUCAAAUUAUUGCGUA